This 451-nucleotide ribosomal RNA is filed under the name uncultured prokaryote. RNAcentral describes it as "partial 16S ribosomal RNA". The record is from RNAcentral.
CCCUAUGGGGUGCAGCAGGUCGUGGACAAGAAUAAGGUAGCAACUCCCGCAAACUGGCCCAACAACGAUUUCCUCGGCGACCAGGUGAUCGUGCCCCCUCCGGCGGAUGAGAAGGCUGCUGCCGGCAGAAAGACAGGCGGCGGCAUGGUCUGUGAGGACUGGUGGUUCUGCCAUAAGACGUUGUGAGCAGCCAAUUGAUGAGGUUGAAAAUCAAGGUGAUUUUAUAUGGCUGAUAAGAAGAAAUACACCCUGCCCGAGCUGCCCUAUGCUGGCAAUGCCCUGGAGCCCCAUAUCACCCAGGCCCAGCUGGUGCUGCAUCAUGACAAGCAUCAUGCCGCCUAUGUGAACGGCGCCAAUGCCAUACUGGAAAGGCUGGACAAGGCGCGGGAAUCCGGAUCGGACAUCGAUAUGAAGGCCACGCUAAAGGAGCUCUCUUUCCAGGCGGGAGGGC